GUACACUCCUACGGGAGGCAGCAGUGGGGAAUUUUGGACAAUGGGCGAAAGCCUGAUCCAGCAAUGCCGCGUGAGUGAAGAAGGCCUUCGGGUUGUAAAGCUCUUUUGUCAGGGAAGAAACGGUGAGAGCUAAUAUCUCUUGCUAAUGACGGUACCUGAAGAAUAAGCACCGGCUAACUACGUGCCAGCAGCCGCGGUAAUACGUAGGGUGCAAGCGUUAAUCGGAAUUACUGGGCGUAAAGCGUGCGCAGGCGGUUUUGUAAGUCUGAUGUGAAAUCCCCGGGCUCAACCUGGGAAUUGCAUUGGAGACUGCAAGGCUAGAAUCUGGCAGAGGGGGGUAGAAUUCCACGUGUAGCAGUGAAAUGCGUAGAUAUGUGGAGGAACACCGAUGGCGAAGGCAGCCCCCUGGGUCAAGAUUGACGCUCAUGCACGAAAGCGUGGGGAGCAAACAGGAUUAGAAACCCUUGUAGUCCC
RNAcentral lists this ribosomal RNA (474 nucleotides) under uncultured organism. RNAcentral describes it as "partial 16S ribosomal RNA". It matches the Rfam family "Bacterial small subunit ribosomal RNA", at positions 331 to 797 of the family's 1533-position model. The record is from RNAcentral.